AUUGCCUCAGUAACGGCGAGUGAAGCGGCAAGAGCUCAAAUUUGAAAGCUGGCUCCUUCGGGGUCCGCAUUGUAAUUUGCAGAGGAUGCUUCGGGAGCGGCCCCCAUCUAAGUGCCCUGGAACGGGCCGUCAUAGAGGGUGAGAAUCCCGUCUGGGAUGGGGUGCCCGCGCCCGUGUGAAGCUCCUUCGACGAGUCGAGUUGUUUGGGAAUGCAGCUCUAAAUGGGUGGUAAAUUUCAUCUAAAGCUAAAUACUGGCCGGAGACCGAUAGCGCACAAGUAGAGUGAUCGAAAGAUGAAAAGCACUUUGAAAAGAGAGUUAAACAGCACGUGAAAUUGUUGAAAGGGAAGCGCUUGCGACCAGACUCGCUCGCGGGGUUCAGCCGGCCUUCGGGCCGGUGUACUUCCCCGCGGGCGGGCCAGCGUCGGUUUGGGCGGCCGGUCAAAGGCCCUCGGAAUGUAACGCCCCCCGGGGCGUCUUAUAGCCGAGGGUGCCAUGCGGCCAGCCCGGACCGAGGAACGCGCUUCGGCUCGGACGCUGGCAUAAUGGUCGUAAGCGACCCGUCUUGAAACACGGACCAAGGAGUCUAACAUCUACGCGAGUGUUCGGGUGUCAAACCCGUGCGCGCAGUGAAAGCGAACGGAGGUGGGAACCCCUCGGGGUGCACCAUCGACCGAUCCUGAUGUCUUCGGAUGGAUUUGAGUAAGAGCGUAGCUGUUGGGACCCGAAAGAUGGUGAACUAUGCCUGAAUAGGGCGAAGCCAGAGGAAACUCUGGUGGAGGCUCGCAGCGGUUCUGACGUGCAAAUCGAUCGUCAAAUUUGGGUAUAGGGGCGAAAGACUAAUCGAACCAUCUAGUAGCUGGUUCCUGCCGAAGUU
Molecule: ribosomal RNA, 876 nt
Filed under: Penicillium limosum
Lineage: Eukaryota; Fungi; Ascomycota; Eurotiomycetes; Eurotiales; Aspergillaceae
Description: LSU rRNA
Rfam family: Eukaryotic large subunit ribosomal RNA
Source: RNAcentral